RNAcentral lists this ribosomal RNA (933 nucleotides) under Bacillus safensis. RNAcentral's name for it is "bacterial SSU rRNA". It matches the Rfam family "Bacterial small subunit ribosomal RNA", at positions 23 to 939 of the family's 1533-position model. The record is from RNAcentral. Lineage: Bacteria; Bacillati; Bacillota; Bacilli; Caryophanales; Bacillaceae.
CAUAAUGUGAAGUGAGGGGGUGCUAUACAUGCAGUCGAGCGGACAGAAGGGAGCUUGCUCCCGGAUGUUAGCGGCGGACGGGUGAGUAACACGUGGGUAACCUGCCUGUAAGACUGGGAUAACUCCGGGAAACCGGAGCUAAUACCGGAUAGUUCCUUGAACCGCAUGGUUCAAGGAUGAAAGACGGUUUCGGCUGUCACUUACAGAUGGACCCGCGGCGCAUUAGCUAGUUGGUGGGGUAAUGGCUCACCAAGGCGACGAUGCGUAGCCGACCUGAGAGGGUGAUCGGCCACACUGGGACUGAGACACGGCCCAGACUCCUACGGGAGGCAGCAGUAGGGAAUCUUCCGCAAUGGACGAAAGUCUGACGGAGCAACGCCGCGUGAGUGAUGAAGGUUUUCGGAUCGUAAAGCUCUGUUGUUAGGGAAGAACAAGUGCGAGAGUAACUGCUCGCACCUUGACGGUACCUAACCAGAAAGCCACGGCUAACUACGUGCCAGCAGCCGCGGUAAUACGUAGGUGGCAAGCGUUGUCCGGAAUUAUUGGGCGUAAAGGGCUCGCAGGCGGUUUCUUAAGUCUGAUGUGAAAGCCCCCGGCUCAACCGGGGAGGGUCAUUGGAAACUGGGAAACUUGAGUGCAGAAGAGGAGAGUGGAAUUCCACGUGUAGCGGUGAAAUGCGUAGAGAUGUGGAGGAACACCAGUGGCGAAGGCGACUCUCUGGUCUGUAACUGACGCUGAGGAGCGAAAGCGUGGGGAGCGAACAGGAUUAGAUACCCUGGUAGUCCACGCCGUAAACGAUGAGUGCUAAAGUGUUAGGGGGGUUUCCGCCCCUUAGUGCUGCAGCUAACGCAUUAAGCACUCCGCCCUGGGGAGUACGGUCGCAAGACUGGAGACUCAAUAGAAUUGACGGGGGCGCGCACAAGCGGUGGAGCA